GACGAACGCUGGCGGCGUGCUUAACACAUGCAAGUCGAACGCUGAAGCUCAGCUUGCUGGGUGGAUGAGUGGCGAACGGGUGAGUAACACGUGAGUAACCUGCCCCCUUCUUUGGGAUAACGCCCGGAAACGGGUGCUAAUACUGGAUAUUCACUGAUCUUCGCCUGGGGGUUGGUGGAAAGGUUUUUUCUGGUGGGGGAUGGGCUCGCGGCCUAUCAGCUUGUUGGUGGGGUGAUGGCCUACCAAGGCUUUGACGGGUAGCCGGCCUGAGAGGGUGACCGGUCAGAUUGGGAGUGAGAUACGGCCCAGACUCCUACGGGAGGCAGCAGGGGAGAAUAUUGCGCAAUGGGCGAAAGCCUGAUGCAGCGCCGCCGCGUGAGGGAUGGAGGCCGUCGGGUUGUAAACCUCUUUCGCUCAUGGUCAAGCCGCAACAUUGGUUGUGGUGAGGGUAGUGGGUAAAGAAGCGCCGGCUAACUACGUG
Molecule: ribosomal RNA, 481 nt
Filed under: uncultured bacterium
Lineage: Bacteria
Description: partial 16S ribosomal RNA
Rfam family: Bacterial small subunit ribosomal RNA
Source: RNAcentral